UACGUAGGGUGCAAGCGUUGUCCGGAAUUAUUGGGCGUAAAGAGCUCGUAGGUGGUUUGUUACGUCUGCUGUGAAAUCCUAGGGCUUAACCCUGGGCUUGCAGUGGAUACGGGCAGACUAGAGGUAGGUAGGGGAGAAUGGAAUUCCUGGUGUAGCGGUGAAAUGCGCAGAUAUCAGGAGGAACACCGGUGGCGAAGGCGGUUCUCUGGGCCUUACCUGACACUGAGGAGCGAAAGCGUGGGGGAGCGAACAGG
RNAcentral lists this ribosomal RNA (254 nucleotides) under uncultured bacterium. Its description in RNAcentral is "partial 16S ribosomal RNA". It matches the Rfam family "Bacterial small subunit ribosomal RNA", at positions 524 to 776 of the family's 1533-position model. The record is from RNAcentral.